This 7068-nucleotide unclassified non-coding RNA is filed under the name Leishmania donovani. RNAcentral describes it as "gene:LdHU3.15.0820(CDS-product:hypothetical_prote in_conserved)". Lineage: Eukaryota; Euglenozoa; Kinetoplastea; Trypanosomatida; Trypanosomatidae. The record is from RNAcentral.
UGUACACAUCCCUUUCUCCCUGUUACUUCAGUGUGUGUUGUUUAGGACACUAUCUCUGGUGCAGGCCUGCCCCGCCCUGUCCCCGUGGUAUCUUCCGCAUUUUUUUCUUCUUGGAGAGGGAGGGGCGCUGGUCGCAUCUCUCCCUCUGUCUCCUUACGGGGUGUGUAUGUGUGUUUGUGUGGUGAUCGUUAUUUCCUUUACCUGUUCUGUUCUCUGUUUCGGGGUGGGGAGGAGGCGCUCUCCUCGUGGCUGUUUCUGUGUGUAAGUGUGCGCGCACGCCUCCCAAACACCAACAACGUCCUCCACCCUCUCUCUGAAAAGGGUGCAGCUGUGGAAGAGAGCACACGAGGCGAUACAACGGCAGACGUACGCACACAUACACACGCAUACGCAUACGAGUACGCUGGUAGACGCAGAGUGAAAUCGCGGUUGGCCAUUAUAAGCGCACGCGCACAUGUGUAAGUGCGCACGAAGCAGCGCUUCUACGCACACAUAAGCACCAAUACAUACAUAUAUAUAUAUAUAUCGGUAUAGCUAUAUGUAUGUAUGUAUCAGUAUCGCCACUCCCCCCCCCUCUCCCACCCCGCAUUGCGCUUCUGCACGUUUUUUUUUGUUUUUGUGUUUUUUUUUGUCUUCUCUUUGUUAUAACUACGAAGACGCACGCUCACGAAACGAGCGAGCGCACGGACAACAAGCGGUAACGUGCGUAGCCCUUCUCCUCCACCCCCUCCCCCUCGUUUCUUCGUGUGGCAUUCGUGUAGUGGUCAUCCCCUCUGUCUCCCCCCCCCUCCUCUAACUCACUCGCUCACGCAUCUGUUUUAUUUUCCUUCUGUACCCAUCUAGUUGGAGCUGCUGACCGUGUACUCGGAAGACAACUCUCUCUAUAUAUAGCUUACGCACACACGCACACGCACACAGAGACACACACCGGCACGCAAAGCAAAAGCAAGCGACCGCAUCUCCGCGUCCAAGCAUCUGCACGGCCAUCAUCACCGUCUCCACUUCGGCUUUUCCCUUCGCUCUUGACUGCCUCGCAUUCUCCACGCGUCUCUGCUGCCUGCCGCUUCUUCGUUGUGUGUGUAUGUGUGUGUGUGUGUAGAGCUGUACCUCGACUUAUACACCCAUCGAGGACGGUUCUUCUCUCCCUCUUUCUACCUUUAGCUACGCUCAUUCGAACAUCCACGUGCGCGCCCAUUCACAGAGACAAGCACCGCUCCAACUCAAACCCAAGUGCACACGCAUAUAUACGGGGAGAGUGAGACGAGACGCCGCGCCGACAAGCCUCGCUCCCAUCAACAAACCGACGACCUCCGUCCCUCUCCUUUCAUACUAUUUCUCUCGCUCUCGCCUCUUCCGUGCUGAGCUCGCUCAACUGCGUGCCUGGCCUCUUUUCGCGCUCCCACACGCGCGCGCACAGCGAGAGAGAACGCGAUAAAGGCGAAGCCUGUUCACUUAGUUCUUUUCUCUCUCUGGGUUUGUGUUGGUGUGUGUAUGUGUGUGCGGUUUGAACUUGUCCACUCAUAUCGACCUCUUUCUCCCUGUCUGUCCCUCCCGGCUCGGCCUGAGACUACCCUCCACCUCCACCUCCACCUCCACCUCCACACCCCCUUCUCUGCCAGCGUGUCCCUACUCGCUGGUCUGCCCUGUCUUUCAGGCAGUGCACACGUUUCGUGGGGCGGGCGCCGUUUCUUCGCUUUAGGGAAGAGGAGGAGUACUCUGUCGAUACCGCCUACACACGGACGGCAAGCGGUCCUCAUCCACAGCACAGCAGAGGGCAAGAGCGACGAAAGACGACGUGUGUCCUCCGUGUCUUUCCCCUUUUUGUUGCUGUUGGUUCGUCGCUCUUCUUGUCGUGUUUGAGCCUCCCCAUCCCAACCCUCCCCCCCCCCCCAAUCCCUCCUUUGCUCUACUCUGUGUGUAUGUACGCAAACCCCUCCCCCUUCCCUUUUUUUAUAGUGUUCGCCUCAUUCUCGCCCUUUAGCUUUUCGUUUUUUUUGUUUACGUGUUAUCUCUACGUCUUUCUCCUUCUCUCCUCUCCGUCUGUCUGUCUGUCUGUCGGUGUGUAUGUGUGUGUGUGUUUCCGCUCUCAUGUGUUUUGCCGGGCACCUCACCCCCACCUCUAUUGCCAACUCACCAUCCGCCAUUCCCUCAACCCUACUAUCCUGCUUCUCCGCCCUCCGGCCCACGUCGUCGUCAUCGUUAUCCACCGCUGUCUCCCUGUCGUUCGCACGUGUCAUCGCAAGCGCCACCGGUUAGGCACGCCGCGCCGGAUCGCAUUUCACACAGCAGCGCGUACACUUCGGCUGCUACGGCCACAACGUCUAUAGCGGCCAACAGCAGUGGUACCAGUAAUCGCAGACAGCUGAGCGAGCUGAGCAGCGGUCUUCGGGGUAAGCGAAACCACAACGGCAUCCGCGGUCACAAAGAAGCCGCAGCAGCACGAUCAGGAGCACCAGGCUGGGCAAGAGACACCUCCCUACUCAGUCACCACCCUGUGCCCCAUCGUCCCAGGAAAGCUCUACAGAUCGAGUGAUCACACAACGCAAUACAGACAGCCCCUUCUCCCUUCUCAGGCGCCUCAGAAGUACCAGCAGCAGGAGCAACGGGAGCGGGCGCCGCUUCCUUCCGCCAACUACGAUCCUCUUGUUGUACCUUCGCCAGAACCGUCGCUUUCUCGUUUUGAUUACCCUAUCCAAUUGCCGCCGUGCUACUGCAGCCCCUCUUCCGUGCUUGUCACCGCAGCACCGCCACCAUCUCCUUCUCCGCUCUUGCAGGAGACCCAACAGCUCCGCCACGUAGUACGCCGUCGUGGAGUUGCCACGGUCGCCACACAAGUCGUCAUGGAGCCCGGCACCCACCCGCAACCUCACCCGAGCGCCUCCUCCUCUUCCCCCUAUUCUCAGUCGACGUCGUCGUCGCAGCAGUACCUGCAAAUCCGUACGGACACGACCGUGGUGUCUUCCAUCAACAGUUCCUCCGCCGCAGACCAGUCCAGCAAGUCCGCCUCGGCAGCCGUCGCUGCGUCGAGCAGUGGGCCGUCAUAUGAAGGUCUAUGCAUGGCUGUUCCGCACUCGCCGGUAACGGCGCCUGUCCACCAGCCGUACACCACGCGGGCGCAGCAGAGCCAAGCGCCACACCACCGCACCUCCCCUAAGAGUAGGUCCUCGCCGCAUCGCUGUGCCGUGUCGCGCACGAGCAUGACCUGCUCCUCCGUUGGCGACGCCGACAAUCUGGGCUUGCACCGACGGCACAACAACCCGCGCGAGGCCUACGGAGGUCAGUGCCAGAAUUCGCUUGGACACCAGUUACAGCAGCAACACAACCACCACCAAGCCGACGCGCUUCCGCAGCCGCUCGAGCGGCGCAGCAGCGACGUCGUGGGCGCCGUCUCGCGCAGCCUCAACAUGCACAACGAUCCUGAGCUGGGGGGACUACCGCCGAUGCACUGCGGCAAUGAGGGCGAGGACGAGGUGGUGGGGCGCGCCGGCGGGGCCGUGGGAACGGCCGGACACGCCACGACACUCUAUUCCAAAGGCUUCCUGAUUGCAACCGCCUCCGCGAAGGAUGCUUCGGCGUCGCGCGGCAACGACGGCGGCGGUACAUACAUCCCGCCGCACUUGCACGAUGGCAAAGAGCAACAGACGCCACGCGAAGAUGGCGAGGCAAGUCUCAGCCAGGCGAGUCAGUCACGCAGCCCGCUCGCGAGCACUUCCACUGGCGUCUCUCAUCGCCUGCUGACGGCGGACGAAAUCAACGAGCGGCGUCGCGCGUCGUGGGGUGCGAGCCGCUCGGUGUCCCAGGUACACUCCGUCGUGGCCGGCCCGGCCGCCGGCGACAACGCGGGAGGUCAUAAAAAGGCCGGGAAUGCGCUGACCAGCGUCCAAAGCACCCGCAACAACCUCAGCACCGCAAGCGGCGUUAGCAAAGGCAGCCGGCCAGCCCACCGACAGCUGACCAAGGAGGAGGCCGACCAACUGAUUGCUCACCGCCAACAACAGCGGACCGCAGAAGCCGUGCCUGUCGCAGCAGCAGCGAAAGACGUACCUGCGCAGCAGCAGCAGCAGCAGCAGCACGGGCUGUCAUCAUUGCUGGCGAAUACCCCCAACAACAACCAGUCUGGAAUCUUGCACUCGGCGCCGCCGGACAGCGCAAAGCCGUGGCUCCUCUCUGGGGAUGGUACGCAGGCGAACUACUUCCCUCCAGAACCCGCCUCUACGCCGCCGGUGGCCAGCACCAGCACCGUGGGCGACGGCGGCAACACGUCUACGAAGCCCAUGGCGUUCGAGUGGCUGCGAGGGGCCAGCGCCGGUGAUACUGGCGGUGUCGGUGGUGGUGCUAAUGGAGCAGGCCUCUUCUCAGAGUCGACGGUUCAUUCAUGGCCUGGCGUGAAUGGGUGGCGUGACAGCAACCUGAUUGGCAGCAGCGUUAACGGCGGCAACGUGAACACUGCCAUGGCUGCAUUUCUUGGUGCGGCAGGGGGCGCUGCCGGAGAUGGUGGCUCUAACGGUAACUUCAACGCCUCUGCAGCCGCCUUGGCAAGGGCAGGCCAAACACCAGGCGGCACAUCCACUGCCGCCUUUACAUGGCUGCCCCACACCUCAAACUGGUCCCCGCGCAAUCAACAGCAACAGCAGCAGCAGCAGCAGCAGGCGCUUUUCUCCUUCGUGCCUGCUACACCGCCGCAAGUGUGUGCCGUCAGCGGCGGCACCAACCCCAACACCUGGGGCUACAGCAACACCGCGAUGGGCUUCACUGGUGGCAGCCUGCGCAGUGGCUCGCUCACCUUUCUUUCUUCUCCCCCCACGCCGGCGGCGCUACAGGGCGUGUCGCAAGAACGAAUCGAAGAGUGCAUCCGGCAAUGUGAUGGGCAGCUGGAGCAACUCCGACACGAGCGAGAGCAGCUGGUGCAAGAACUUCAGAGACGCCUGUACGCUUCGGCAGACGGCGAAAAGCAGCAGCAGCAGCAGCAACAGCAACAGCAACACAACCACGCCGACGCUGCAAGUUGGCCCGGCGCACUCGGCCCCCACGCCGGCACAAUCCCAAGCAGCUUAAUGGACACGAUCACGGCAGAGCCGUCGAUGCUGCCACGCGGGACCGCCACUUCGGGGACGGGUGCCAUCGGUGGCGGCGGCAGCGCCGUUCGGCAGCGUCCCCUCUGGCCGUUCUUUGGCGACCUCAUCGUGGACGGGAAUGGCGUGGCGAAGACCUUGCCGCGCGGCCCCGUCGGCACACGUGAGCUCCCUAGUCCGUACAUGGAACCUACCGUGGAAGUCGAUAGCGCGGAAUGGGCGGGGCGUGCGGCCACGGCGGCAGCAAGCCAUCAGCGGCCGGGCAGUAGCGGUAGCGCGACGGUUGUAGGGCCAGCACACCAGGCGGCAGCCAGCACCGGUGCGGUUGGCAGAAGCGUUGGCAACUGGACCGCCGGUGAGCGCUCUGGCGGUCGUGGCCGUCGUCGUGCAGAGACUGGCAACCAACGGAACAAUAAUGACGGCAACAAUAACGGCGCGUCGUCCUCGGCCGGGGCCAGGGCGACGACGUUCAAUGCCGGAGGUGGUGGGCACAGCAACAGCAACCGCUGCAGCCACGACAACACGCCGCAGGAGCAGAAGUACCUUCAGACGGACCCGUUCAGCAUGUACAUGCACAACAAGAAGAUCGCUACCGCCGGCGUCCCCACGGCGCAGGGCAGCAGCAAGGCCGCUGCUGCGUGAUAAUGCGCAGCAGAGGACGGGCAUGGCAAAAGACCGACGUGCCGUGUGUGUAUGAGUGUGUGGAAGGGCUCCUACCUACUCACCCCUCCCCCUCUCCCGUAGUCUUCCUAUCGUGCGAGCGCUGCUGUGUCGGGGCUCCUCUCAUAUCUAUACACAUAUAUACGUACACAGCUAAUAAGAUUUCUUCGUGUGCACGCUCUCUUCAUCCCCAUCCUUUUUUUUUCGUAGCGAUACACUGAACUGGCGGCGUCUUCCUGUGCCCCACGUCGUCGCCAGAGUCUCCUAUCAGCGUCUCACGUACUCCGCCUCUCCCCUGUGUGCCUGCAACAGAUAAGAGGAGGAGGAGAAGCCACACCAAAGCCGAUGUUUCCCUCGUUCAUCCUAUAAGCCCUCCCCACCCACCCCGUUCUCUUACAAGCACGCGCAUAGGGGCACACACCCACACACACAAUCACGUAGAGAGGGUGUAUACCAAGUGGCUCCGUCUCGGUGCCCUUGUGCGUGUGUGCCUGUGUGUGAGUGUGUGUGUGUGUGUGUGCUCCCUUAUCUUUUUACUCUCCCUCCUCUCUUUCCGUAUGUUAUCGGGCACGCCUGCUUAACGACGCGUGGGCAGCCUUCUUGAAUUUUCCAUUGUGGGUUUGCCUUGUGUGUGUGUGUAUGUGUGGUGUAACGUUUCCCCGCAUCCUCCCCCCCCCCCCUUCUCUCCCUGUCUCUCAUCAGGAGUGCCGAUGGGGCCACACGGGCUAUGUUUUGCCCCUCCCCCUAUGUCUCUGUCUGUCUGCUUGGGUGUUUGUGCGUCACCGCUCGUGUAUGCCCCGCUCCACCACCUCCUGCUUGAGAGGGCACCGUCUAUCCAUGCGUGCAUACAGUUAUAUGUACAUCCAUACAUAUAUAUACAUAUCUACGCCUAUAUAUAUAUAUGUAUGUAUAGGAAAUGGCCUACACUGACACGCACGGCCUCCACUACUCUCUAUUUCUCUCGCCGUCGCCACUCACGACAGCUGCCAAAGUGGUGGUGGUGGUCCCACUCCUGUUGAGCUUUUUCGUUUUUCAUGUUUGCCGAAAGCGUAUGUGUGCGUAUGUGUCUGUCUGUUAUGUGUGAAAAAAAAAAGCACACACACACACACAACUGCGCGAGCUUAGAGCGUGCCGCGAGACGCGUCGAUGGCAGUCGUGCGAGGGUCGGGCGAAGCGGAUCACAAGCGAUGCCGCGCGCAUGAAGGAGGUGAGCGGUGCCGGGCCGGAGGCAGGGGGUGGUAAGGCUGCGUGCACCGACGCCACACGGGUACCAAUGAAUAGCACUGGAACUUGCUCCUCCCCUUCCCCCCCCUCUUUUGUUUAUGCCUUUGUGCAG